This 1401-nucleotide ribosomal RNA is filed under the name Vibrio vulnificus. Its description in RNAcentral is "partial 23S ribosomal RNA". It matches the Rfam family "Bacterial large subunit ribosomal RNA", at positions 1546 to 2925 of the family's 2925-position model. Lineage: Bacteria; Pseudomonadati; Pseudomonadota; Gammaproteobacteria; Vibrionales; Vibrionaceae. The record is from RNAcentral.
ACUCUUAAGGCUGAGACACGACGUCGAGCUACUACGGUAGUGAAGUCAUUGAUGCCAUGCUUCCAGGAAAAGCCUCUAAGCUUCAGAUUGUAAGGAAUCGUACCCCAAACCGACACAGGUGGUCGGGUAGAGAAUACCAAGGCGCUUGAGAGAACUCGGGUGAAGGAACUAGGCAAAAUGGUACCGUAACUUCGGGAGAAGGUACGCUCUUGAUGGUGAAGUCCCUUGCGGAUGGAGCUGACGAGAGUCGCAGAUACCAGGUGGCUGCAACUGUUUAUUAAAAACACAGCACUGUGCAAAAUCGUAAGAUGACGUAUACGGUGUGACGCCUGCCCGGUGCCGGAAGGUUAAUUGAUGGGGUUAGCGUAAGCGAAGCUCUUGAUCGAAGCCCCGGUAAACGGCGGCCGUAACUAUAACGGUCCUAAGGUAGCGAAAUUCCUUGUCGGGUAAGUUCCGACCUGCACGAAUGGCGUAAUGAUGGCCACGCUGUCUCCACCCGAGACUCAGUGAAAUUGAAAUCGCUGUGAAGAUGCAGUGUACCCGCGGCUAGACGGAAAGACCCCGUGAACCUUUACUACAGCUUGGCACUGAACAUUGAACCUACAUGUGUAGGAUAGGUGGGAGGCUUUGAAGACGUGACGCCAGUUGCGUUGGAGCCGUCCUUGAAAUACCACCCUUGUAUGUUUGAUGUUCUAACGUUGGCCCCUAAUCGGGGUUGCGGACAGUGCCUGGUGGGUAGUUUGACUGGGGCGGUCUCCUCCCAAAGAGUAACGGAGGAGCACGAAGGUGGGCUAAUCACGGUUGGACAUCGUGAGGUUAGUGCAAUGGCAUAAGCCCGCUUAACUGCGAGAAUGACGGUUCGAGCAGGUGCGAAAGCAGGUCAUAGUGAUCCGGUGGUUCUGAAUGGAAGGGCCAUCGCUCAACGGAUAAAAGGUACUCCGGGGAUAACAGGCUGAUACCGCCCAAGAGUUCAUAUCGACGGCGGUGUUUGGCACCUCGAUGUCGGCUCAUCACAUCCUGGGGCUGAAGUCGGUCCCAAGGGUAUGGCUGUUCGCCAUUUAAAGUGGUACGCGAGCUGGGUUUAGAACGUCGUGAGACAGUUCGGUCCCUAUCUGCCGUGGGCGUUGGAAGAUUGAAGGGGGCUGCUCCUAGUACGAGAGGACCGGAGUGGACGAACCUCUGGUGUUCGGGUUGUGUCGCCAGACGCAUUGCCCGGUAGCUAAGUUCGGAAUCGAUAACCGCUGAAAGCAUCUAAGCGGGAAGCGAGCCCUGAGAUGAGUCUUCCCUGAUACUUUAAGUAUCCUGAAGGGUUGUUCGAGACUAGAACGUUGAUAGGCAGGGUGUGUAAGCGCUGUGAGGCGUUGAGCUAACCUGUACUAAUUGCCCGUGAGGCUUAACCAU